UGGGGAAUCUUGCACAAUGGGGGAAACCCUGAUGCAGCGACGCCGCGUGAGCGAUGAAGCCCUUCGGGGUGUAAAGCUCUUUCGGCAGGGAAGAUGAUGACGGUACCUGCAGAAGCAGCUGCGGCUAACUACGUGCCAGCAGCCGCGGUAAUACGUAGGCAGCGAGCGUUGUUCGGAGUUACUGGGCGUAAAGGGUGUGUAGGCGGUUGUUUAAGUUUGGUGUGAAAUCUCCCGGCUCAACUGGGAGGGUGCGCCGAAUACUGAAUGACUAGAGUGCGGGAGAGGAAAGUGGAAUUCCUGGUGUAGCGGUGAAAUGCGUAGAUAUCAGGAGGAACACCGGUGGUGUAGACGGCUUUCUGGACCGUAACUGACGCUGAGACACGAAAGCGUGGGUAGCAAACAGGAUUAGAUACCCCCGUAGUCC
This 424-nucleotide ribosomal RNA is filed under the name uncultured bacterium. RNAcentral's name for it is "bacterial SSU rRNA". It matches the Rfam family "Bacterial small subunit ribosomal RNA", at positions 355 to 796 of the family's 1533-position model. The record is from RNAcentral.